UGGGGAAUAUUGGACAAUGGGCGAAAGCCUGAUCCAGCCAUGCCGCGUGUGUGAAGAAGGCCUUUUGGUUGUAAAGCACUUUAAGUGGGGAGGAAAAGCUUAUGGUUAAUACCCAUAAGCCCUGACGUUACCCACAGAAUAAGCACCGGCUAACUCUGUGCCAGCAGCCGCGGUAAUACAGAGGGUGCAAGCGUUAAUCGGAAUUACUGGGCGUAAAGCGCGCGUAGGUGGUUAUUUAAGUCAGAUGUGAAAGCCCCGGGCUUAACCUGGGAACUGCAUCUGAUGCUGGAUAACUAGAGUAGGUGAGAGGGGAGUAGAAUUCCAGGUGUAGCGGUGAAAUGCGUAGAGAUCUGGAGGAAUACCGAUGGCGAAGGCAGCUCCCUGGCAUCAUACUGACACUGAGGUGCGAAAGCGUGGGUAGCAAACAGGAUUAGAUACCCUGGUAGUCCACGCCGUAAACGAUGUCUACCAGUCGUUGGGUCUUUUAAAGACUUAGUGACGCAGUUAACGCAAUAAGUAGACCGCCUGGGGAGUACGGCCGCAAGGUUA
This 549-nucleotide ribosomal RNA is filed under the name uncultured bacterium. RNAcentral's name for it is "bacterial SSU rRNA". It matches the Rfam family "Bacterial small subunit ribosomal RNA", at positions 355 to 896 of the family's 1533-position model. The record is from RNAcentral.